RNAcentral lists this ribosomal RNA (863 nucleotides) under uncultured Sebaldella sp. Its description in RNAcentral is "bacterial SSU rRNA". It matches the Rfam family "Bacterial small subunit ribosomal RNA", at positions 31 to 916 of the family's 1533-position model. Lineage: Bacteria; Fusobacteriati; Fusobacteriota; Fusobacteriia; Fusobacteriales; Leptotrichiaceae. The record is from RNAcentral.
GGAAGCUGAGAUGCUUACACAUGCAAGUCGAUGAGAAGACUCCCUUCGGGGAGAGGGUAUCAUGGCGGACGGGUGAGUAACGCGUAAAGAACUUGCCAUAUGGACAGGGAUAACCGAUGGAAACGACGGAUAAGACCUGAUAUAAUGAAUUAAUGGCAUCAUUGAUUCAUGAAAAGCAAUGCCAUAUGAGGGCUUUGCGUCCUAUUAGCUAGUUGGUAGUGUAACGGACAACCAAGGCGAUGAUAGGUAGCCGGCCUGAGAGGGUGGACGGCCACAAGGGGACUGAGAUACGGCCCUUACUCUUACGGGAGGCAGCAGUGGGGAAUAUUGGACAAUGGAGGUAACUCUGAUCCAGCAAUUCUGUGUGCACGAUGAAGGUCUUCGGAUUGUAAAGUGCUUUAAGUUGGGAAGAAAAAAAUGACGGUACCAACAGAAUAAGCGACGGCUAAAUACGUGCCAGCAGCCGCGGUAAUACGUAUGUCGCAAGCGUUAUCCGGAAUUAUUGGGCAUAAAGGGCAUCUAGGCGGGGUUUCAAGUCGACGGUGAAAACUAGUGGCUCAACCAUUAGCUUGCCGACGAAACUGAAAUUCUAGAGUAUUGGAAAGGUGGGCGGAACUACAUGAGUAGAGGUGAAAUUCGUAGAUAUAUGUAGGAAUGCCGAUGACGAAGGUAGCUCACUGGACAAAAACUGACGCUGAAGUGCGAAAGCUAGGGGAGCAAACAGGAUUAGAUACCCUGGUAGUCCUAGCUGUAAACGAUGUUCACUGGGUGUGGGCGAGUAGAUCGUCUGUGCCGAAGCAAAUGCGAUAAGUGAACCGCCUGGGGAGUACGGCCGCAAGGCUGAAACUCAAAUGAAUUGACGG